GCCCAUAUAGCUCAAUGGUAGAGCACCUGCAUUUGGUAGGGUAUGAUGGUUCAAGUCCUUCUGUGGGCA
Non-coding RNA from Blepharisma stoltei, 69 nucleotides. Lineage: Eukaryota; Ciliophora; Heterotrichea; Heterotrichida; Blepharismidae. The record is from the annotation of a GenBank genome assembly.